Molecule: long non-coding RNA, 1797 nt
Filed under: Ananas comosus (pineapple)
Lineage: Eukaryota; Viridiplantae; Streptophyta; Magnoliopsida; Poales; Bromeliaceae
Description: long non-coding RNA (ACOM_LNC003420)
Source: RNAcentral
AAAGAGAGAAAGGGAUAGAAGAGAGUCAAUGUCACACCCCAAUAAUCCCACAUCGGAUAGAAAUGGAGAUGUGAUUAAGUAUAUAAGAGACUUAGACACUAGUAAUAAUAACUGGGCUUAAGCAUUUUGGGCAGGUGGUUGGGCCCUACGAGUUAUUAUUGCUAGUGGGCUGGGUCGUUACAUUUGGUAUCAGAGUCAAUCACCAGCCGAAAAUUUAUGGCAAGUCUCGGCUGAGCCAGGGUCUGAAAGACAAGGUGAUAGGCUAUGCCGCAGUCUGUAUGAUAAGGUGACCGGCUAUGGUAGGGUCUGAAUGACAAGACUAGUGAGACGAGUCUCACAUCUGUUUGAAGUAAAAUAAUACUUAUCAUACAUAUAUAUAAGUUGAAACAAUCCUAAACCUAAUAAAAAAAAAGUGAUUAGAUUUGAGUUCAUACAAUCCUAAUAGGUCUCGUAUUAAUCAUUAAUUUUUUUCGGGUCAAUAAUUAUAAUAUACAAUAAGCCCAUUUAAAAAUGUGAGUGGGCGGGCCCUUACGAAAGCCCAAACAAAUAAAUAAAAAAAAUAUGAGUGGGCGGGCCCUUACGAAAGCCCAAACAAAUAAAUAAAAAAAAANAAUAAAUAAAAAAAAAAGUGAGGGGGAGCUUUAUUUCAGCCCGUUAUCAUUUGAACCCAAUAAAUUAAAGUGGGUCUGAUCAACGACGGCCCACACACACACACCCUAUAAAGUAUCUAUUCGAAAUUCGAUUUCAAAUCACAACCCAUUCAAAAUUCGAAUUUCGAAUUUUAAACUCCCAACAAAUUCCCAACCAUUUUCCAAAAUACCAUCCAACAACCCAUUCGAAAUUCGAAUUUAAAUUUCGAAUUCCCAACCAAUUCCUAAAACAUCCUCCAAUAACCCAUUCGAAAUUCGAAUUUGAAUUUCGAAUUCCCAACUAAUUCCUAAAACAUCAUCCAACAACCCAUUCGAAAUUCGAAUUCGAAUUUCGAAUUCCCAACCAUUUUCCAAAAUAUCAUCCAACAACCCAUUCGAAAUUCGAAUUCGAAUUUCGAACCCCCAACCAUUUCUCAAAAUAUUAUCCAACAACCCAUUCGAAAUUCGAUUUUGAAUUUUGAAUUCCCAACUAAUUCCAAAAACAUCUUCCAACAACUCAUUCAAAAUUCGAUUUCGAAUUUCGAAUUCCCUAACCAAUUCUCAAAACAUCAUCCAACAAUCCAUUCGAAAUUCGAUUUUGAAUUCCCAACCAACUCCAAAAUAUCCUCUAAUAAUCCAUUCAAAAUUCGAAUUUCGAAUUUCAAACCUCCAACCAACUCCCAAAAUAUCUUCCAACUAUCCAACAACUGAUUCAAAAUUCAAUUCCCAACCACUCCCCAAAUAUCCUCCAAUCAUCCAACAAAUAAUUCAAAAUUUGAAUUUCGAAUUUUGAAUUCCUAACUAACUCCUCCUCUCCCAUUAUAAAUACGGGAACCGAAAUCAAAUUCUGGGAAAUUUUUUUUACGGAGACGAUAGACAAAGAACAAAAAAAAAUAGAUAGAUUGCUACACUCGAGCCGCGGAAAGGAGGAGAGAUCGCCGAGCCGCGGAAAGGAGGAAAGAUCGCCGAGCCGCAGAAAGGAGAAAAGAUCACUCGAGCCGCUGAAAGAAGGAGAGAUCGCCGAGCCGCGGAAAGAAGGAGAGAUCGUUGAGCCGCUUCAUUCAAUCCAUCAAUAGGUAGUAAAAAAAAGAAAGAAAGAAAGAAAGAAAGAAAGAAAAUAAAACAAUAAUAAAACACAAAAGAAAAUUCUCUUCUUCCCCCCUUCCUU